UUCGGGGGCAAGUUUCGGGGGCCAAAAGGCACUCCAGAGACGAAAGUCUCUAACCUUCGGCGGCACCUUCGGCGGCCGAAUCCCCCAAACAGAGCCGAACAUUCAAAACUCGCGGGGGCAAGCUGUGGCAGCCUAAGCCACCAUGCAAGAGGUUCGGCGGCCGAAUGAACCUUCGGCUGCCGAACCUAAGUUCAUCCAGAACUCAGCCCCGACGGCA
This 217-nucleotide long non-coding RNA is filed under the name Manihot esculenta (cassava). RNAcentral describes it as "long non-coding RNA (MESC_LNC007941)". The record is from RNAcentral. Lineage: Eukaryota; Viridiplantae; Streptophyta; Magnoliopsida; Malpighiales; Euphorbiaceae.